Vigna unguiculata (cowpea) is the source of this 159-nucleotide long non-coding RNA. NCBI's taxonomy places the organism in Eukaryota, Viridiplantae, Streptophyta, Magnoliopsida, Fabales, Fabaceae. The record is from RefSeq and is a predicted model, not a curated record.
AUCUGAUGUCCAUACUCAUACUGGGAGUUCUUUAGCAUUGGAACUUGCUGAAUGUGGUGAUAAUGCAGCAUGCGACUUAUCUGCUGAUACUGAUAGUUCAUUAAUGUGCCUUUCUAGGACUGCUGAUCUUGAUCCGGAUGUUGUUUUAUGUGUGACGCC